Molecule: ribosomal RNA, 485 nt
Filed under: uncultured bacterium
Lineage: Bacteria
Description: bacterial SSU rRNA
Rfam family: Bacterial small subunit ribosomal RNA
Source: RNAcentral
GACGACGCUGGCGGCGUGGAUUAGGCAUGCAAGUCGAACGGUAUCAGUCUUCGGGGGUGAGAGAGUGGCGAACUGGUGAGUAACACGUAGGUUAUCUACCCUCAAGACGGGGACAACCCAGGGAAACUUGGGCUAAUACCGGAUGUGAGCAACUUUUAGUUGUUUGAAAGGUGGCGUAAGCUGUCGCUUGGGGAUGAGCCUGCGUCCUAUUAGUUAGUUGGUGAGGUAACGGCUCACCUAGGCAAUGAUAGGUAGGCGGCCUUAACGGGUGGUCGCCCACACUGGGAUUGAGAUACGGCCCAGACUCCUACGGGAGGCAGCAGUCGAGAAUAGUCUACAAUGGUCGGAAGACUGAUAGUGCGACGCCGCGUGAACGAUGAAUCCCUUCGGGGUGUAAAGUUCUUUUAUAUGUGAGCAGUGCUUCUUAUAUUAACAGUAUGGGGAGAGAGAUAUUAGCAUAUGAAUAAGCAACGGCUAACUCCGUG